AAGGGCCCUGGAUCAGACCAAAUACGGGCACGAGCAAGAUGAUUGGCCAGAAACAACCCAGAAGGCUAACGCCACCUCCAUAAACCCUGAGAUUGUGGUCACAGGGCAGAGCAGUUUCUUGGGUUCUCCUAGUUUGCUGCUCGCCACUGGAGCAUCCCUGUGUGUCUCCUCAGACAAUUCAUUUCAGGGUGUUAGACAAGGCCCUGGAAGGGUCGCUCCACCCCCUAUAGAACCACCAACGCCUGACAAAGAGAAGAGUUUGGCGGCAUAGGUUCCGGCCCCCUACGUUUCGGCAUCUACAAAACCGCCUCUUGCUACUGUUGCAGGCUUCUAGUUCCAGUUCUGAAAGCGAAUAGUCCCAAGUUCAAAUCUGAGCUCUUCUUCUAACAAGCUAAAUGACUUUGGGAAAUGUACCUUCUCAAAAACAUCUGAGAGGAAUUGUCAGCAGGACCAGGCCCUGGAGGAAGACCAGCACAUGAUAGAGGAGCAUGAUCUUGAGAAGGAGGGAAGAAAACAGCGGCCAGUGAAGCAGGAGGGUCUGAGCAUAAAAGUUAAGGUGGAAGGAAAAUCCUCCAACUGCCAGAAGGCAUCAUUACUUUUCAGGUGUUGAGCACCCAAUAGACAGAUCAGCCUCAUGAACUGGGCGCUCUACCGCGCCACCUGCUAUGAUCUUUCCAGGUGCUCCCACAAACAACACUUUAGCUAACAAGCCUGAAGAUUGUUUGCUCAUCAGAAGGGUGCUUUAAGAAAUUACCCAUUUGUCUAGUACUAGAGGCGGCUGCAGUCACUGGCAUCCCAGAUGGUCCCACUUUUCAGCAUUACAGAUUCUAAGGGAGGAACCUGACAGCACAGUGGAGUUCCCUAUCCAGCAUCCACCUUCUUGUCUGCAUCCUAAAGGCAAAGAUGCACUGGUGGUCGUUUUCAAGCUUUAGAGUCCUUGGUAUUAUUACAGAAUAACCACAGCCCAAAUUCAGAUGGCACUUGCAUGUGCGUGCUAGUAACACCUCUGGUAAAUUCCAACAGUUGCCA
This is an RNA transcript of Sus scrofa (pig), 1029 nucleotides long. It is a transcript of the gene named coiled-coil domain containing 196, with no coding region annotated. Lineage: Eukaryota; Metazoa; Chordata; Mammalia; Artiodactyla; Suidae. The record is from RefSeq and is a predicted model, not a curated record.